UCGCGGCUUAUCACCGGCAGUCCCCCUAGAGUGCCCAACUGAAUGAUGGCAACUAGGGGCGAGGGUUGCGCUCGUUGCGGGACUUAACCCAACAUCUCACGACACGAGCUGACGACAGCCAUGCACCACCUGUGAUCCUGCCCGUGAGGGAAGCCCUGUUUCCAGGGCGGUCAGGAACAUGUCAAGCCCAGGUAAGGUGGGGAUGACGUUGGUCAGUCAA
This 220-nucleotide unclassified non-coding RNA is filed under the name uncultured bacterium. Its description in RNAcentral is "contains 16S-23S intergenic spacer region". The record is from RNAcentral.